UGCAGCAUGCACUGGUGGCGCCACCGUUUCGACCGCCGCCGCGCUUGGCCCUCUCGCUGCGUCGGGAUGCCCAAGUUUAGGGUUUGGCGCAUCCGGCAUGACAGCUAGGGUUUCGCCCAUAGGAGGAGCGCAGGCGUCGCGGCGGGAGGUGGCAUCAAUGAGGCAUCACGGAGGAUUGAGGAGAGGGAGGGGGUCGUCAGGCCUCACAUAUAGGCCGCGCCAUCACCUGGUGCCCCGCCGUCGUCGCUUGAGGGAAAGGGAGGGAGGGAGGGAGGAGGAGGAGGAAGAAGAAGAAGAAGAAGAAGAGGAGGAGGAGGAGGAGGAGGAGGGCGGCCGCGGCGCGCCGCUCGCGCCCAUCGCCGUCGCGGUCGCCCCUGGUGGCGGCGUCAGGAGGAGGGAGGAGUGAAGAGAGAAGGGACGGGAGAGAGAGCCCGAGAUUUUUUUUCCGUGGAAGAGGGACGUGGCCGAUUUGUGUCCACAGGAGGAAGAGGCUGAGGUGGACCAACGGGAGGAGGAGGAGGAGGUGAGGUGGCGCUGAGAUGGCCCAAUCAGAGAAUUUUGUAGGGUUUGGCGCAUCCGGCAUGACAGCUAGGGUUUCGCCCAUAGGAGGAGCGCAGGCGUCGCGGCGGGAGGUGGCAUCAAUGAGGCAUCACGGAGGAUUGAGGAGAGGGAGGGGGUCGUCAGGCCUCACAUAUAGGCCGCGCCAUCACCUGGUGCCCCGCCGUCGUCGCUUGAGGGAAAGGGAGGGAGGGAGGGAGGAGGAGGAAGAAGAAGAAGAAGAAGAAGAAGAAGAAGAAGAGGAGGAGGAGGAGGAGGAGGAGGAGGAGGGCGGCCGCGGCGCGCCGCUCGCACCCAUCGCCGUCGCGGUCGCCCCUGGUGGCGGCGUCAGGAGGAGGGAGGAGUGAAGAGAGAAGGGACGGGAGAGAGAGCCCGAGAUUUUUUUUUCCGUGGAAGAGGGACGUGGCCGAUUUGUGUCCACAGGAGGAAGAGGCUGAGGUGGACCAACGGGAGGAGGAGGAGGAGGUGAGGUGGCGCUGAGAUGGCCCAAUCAGAGAAUUUUGUAGGGUUUGGCGCAUCCGGCAUGACAGCUAGGGUUUCGCCCAUAGGAGGAGCGCAGGCGUCGCGGCGGGAGGUGGCAUCAAUGAGGCAUCACGGAGGAUUGAGGAGAGGGAGGGGGUCGUCAGGCCUCACAUAUAGGCCGCGCCAUCACCUGGUGCCCCGCCGUCGUCGCUUGAGGGAAAGGGAGGGAGGGAAGAAGAAGAAGAAGAAGAAGAAGAAGAAGAAGAAGAAGAAGAAGAAGAAGAAGAGGAGGAGGAGGAGGAGGAGGAGGAGGAGGAGGGCGGCCGCGGCGCGCCGCUCGCGCCCAUCGCCGUCGCGGUCACCCCUGGUGGCGGCGUCAGGAGGAG
RNAcentral lists this long non-coding RNA (1406 nucleotides) under Sorghum bicolor (sorghum). RNAcentral's name for it is "long non-coding RNA (SBIC_LNC006062)". Lineage: Eukaryota; Viridiplantae; Streptophyta; Magnoliopsida; Poales; Poaceae. The record is from RNAcentral.